RNAcentral lists this ribosomal RNA (426 nucleotides) under uncultured bacterium. RNAcentral describes it as "bacterial SSU rRNA". It matches the Rfam family "Bacterial small subunit ribosomal RNA", at positions 355 to 772 of the family's 1533-position model. The record is from RNAcentral.
UGGGGAAUUGUUCGCAAUGGGCGCAAGCCUGACGACGCAACGCCGCGUGGAGGACGAAGAUCUUCGGGUCGUAAACUCCUGUCGAGCGGGAAGAAACCCGCGGAGAUGAAUAAUCUCUGCGGUUGACGGUACCGCUAAAGGAAGCCCCGGCUAACUCCGUGCCAGCAGCCGCGGUAAUCCGGGGGGGGCAAGCGUUGUUCGGAAUUACUGGGCGUAAAGGGCUCGUAGGCGGCCAACUAAGUCGGAUGUGAAAUCCCCAGGCUCAACCUGGGAACUGCAUCCGAUACUGGAUGGCUUGAAUCCGGGAGAGGGAUGCAGAAUUCCAGGUGUAGCGGUGAAAUGCGUAGAUAUCUGGAGGAAUACCGGUGGCGAAGGCGGCAUCCUGGACCGGCAUUGACGCUGAGGAGCGAAAGCUAGGGGAGCAAA